This 72-nucleotide microRNA precursor is filed under the name Mus pahari (shrew mouse). RNAcentral describes it as "miRNA (MGP_PahariEiJ_G0007581.1)". Lineage: Eukaryota; Metazoa; Chordata; Mammalia; Rodentia; Muridae. The record is from RNAcentral.
GAGUCAUAGGAGUUGAUUACACAGCAGCUACUGUGUCUUAUCUCUGUACUUCUGCUCCUCUGUGCUCCUUAG